GAGCUUUUAGUUUAGUUAGAAUUUUUUAUUUACUAUAAAAGGGUUUAAGGCUUU
RNAcentral lists this transfer RNA (54 nucleotides) under Crassicauda magna. RNAcentral describes it as "tRNA-Val". RNAcentral also lists the same sequence under 1 other name. The record is from RNAcentral. Lineage: Eukaryota; Metazoa; Nematoda; Chromadorea; Rhabditida; Tetrameridae.